GCAAGGAUUGUAAUCUGUAGAAGGUUCUUUGGGAGCGUUUGAGGCCAAGUCCUUUGGAAUUGGGCAUCAUAGAGGGUGAUAAUCCCGUCUUGCCUGACAAGCAAUCCCGUGCAAAAGACCUUUCGACGAGUCGAGUUGUUUGGGAAUGCAGCUCAAAAUGGGUGGUAGACUUCAUCUAAAGCUAAAUAUAAACCAAAGACCGAUAGCGCACAAGUAGAGUGAUCGAAAGAUGAAAAGCACUUUGAAAAGAGAGUCAAACAGCACGUGAAAUUGUUGAAAGGGAAGCGCUAGCAACCAGACUUGUUCUGUAAAGCUCAGCCCUCUGAAAAGAUGGUGUAUUCUUUUCGAACAGGCCAACAUCAGUUUUGGCGGUUGGAUAAAAGUCUGUGGAAAGUAGUUCUCUUCGGGGAAUGUUAUAGCCUGGGCACAAUGCAGCCAGCUGGGACUGAGGAUUUGCGUCUUCGGACAAAGAUGUUGGCAUAAUGGUUGUUAGCGACCCGUCUUGAAACACGGACCAAGGAGUCGACCAAUUGAGCGAGCGUUUGGGUGUAAAACCCUCAACGCGAAAUGAAAGUAAACGUAGGUGGGAGCCUCCCGGGGCGCACCAUCGACCGAUCUGAGUUCGCGAGGAUUUGAGUAUGAGUUUAAUUGGUCGGACCCGAAAGAAGGUGAACUAUUCUUGGAUAGGUUGAAGUCAGGUGAAAACCUGAUGGAAGACCGCAGCGGUUCUGACGUGCAAAUCGAUCGUCAAAUCUGGGAAUAGGGGCGAAAGACUAAUCGAACCUUCUAGUAGCUGGUUCCUGUCGAAGUUUCCCUCAGGAUAGCAGCAACGAUAAUACAGUCUCAUGAGGUAGAGCAACGAUUAGAGGCCUUGGGGCUGAAACAGCCUUAACCUAUUCUCGAACUCCGAAUAUGUGAGAAGUCCUUGUUACUUUAUUGAACGUGGACA
Molecule: ribosomal RNA, 949 nt
Filed under: Thelotrema porinoides
Lineage: Eukaryota; Fungi; Ascomycota; Lecanoromycetes; Ostropales; Graphidaceae
Description: eukaryotic LSU rRNA
Rfam family: Eukaryotic large subunit ribosomal RNA
Source: RNAcentral